UACGUAGGGUCCGAGCGUUGUCCGGAAUUACUGGGCGUAAAGAGCUCGUAGGUGGUUUGUCGCGUUGUUCGUGAAAACUCACAGCUCAACUGUGGGCGUGCGGGCGAUACGGGCAGACUAGAGUACUGCAGGGGAGACUGGAAUUCCUGGUGUAGCGGUGGAAUGCGCAGAUAUCAGGAGGAACACCGAUGGCGAAGGCGGGACUCUGGGCCGAUACUGACGCUGAGGAGCGAAAGCGUGGGGAGCAAACAGG
Molecule: ribosomal RNA, 253 nt
Filed under: uncultured bacterium
Lineage: Bacteria
Description: partial 16S ribosomal RNA
Rfam family: Bacterial small subunit ribosomal RNA
Source: RNAcentral